This is a long non-coding RNA of Prinia subflava (tawny-flanked prinia), 740 nucleotides long. RefSeq lists it as uncharacterized. The transcript has 3 exons. The record is from RefSeq and is a predicted model, not a curated record. Lineage: Eukaryota; Metazoa; Chordata; Aves; Passeriformes; Cisticolidae.
GCUCUGGUGAUUCUGUGCAUAAACCCUGCUGUAUCUGAGUUACUGCAGCUCCAGGCCCUGAAAGAAUCAGAUUUAUAAACACAACACUGUGUUUCUUACCUGUAUUAUGAUGGCAGAACUGGCAUUUAUCUGGACUCUUGGUAGAAAAAGGUUUCCAGCCUCACAAGCAACGCAUGAAAAUACAAAAGCAACUGCUGGAAAUAUUGCCAGGGAAAGGGGUCUUGAAAAACAUCCCAGGGAGCCUCGAGGCUGCAGAGUACAGAACACUUUGGAUCAGACCCUUGGAGAGCACAACCUCUAAAAUAACAAGUUUGAAGAAUUAAAUUGUGUCUUCUUCAAUGUCCUCACGAAAGAGUUAAUCAGCAAGUUCACAUCUCCUGGACUGGAAUUCCCUGGAGCUGGAUAUUCCCCUUGUUCCAGGACUUCAGUGUUUACACAGAGCUGGAAGCUCUGAGCUCAAGGAGAGGUAGAAGUUGUUCAUGCUGGCAGAGCUCAGCCUCACACAGCAGCACCUGGCAGAAAAGGUGACCAUUCCAGGGGAGAAGAAACCAUAGAUUGACAGCAAAUUUGCUGGUUACCAAGCUGGCAGCGCCGUGUCCUUCCGAUGACGGAUCUCUCCGACGCUCUGUUUACCUGCCUUUAAUCUGCUCCAAGGCUAACAGAGGUUUAUUUUUUGUUCUCAUCCACAAGGAAUUCAGGAAUACCCUUCCUGCCACCCCCCACCCACGCAGGGGGAUUUU